Molecule: transfer RNA, 74 nt
Filed under: Paeonia ludlowii
Lineage: Eukaryota; Viridiplantae; Streptophyta; Magnoliopsida; Saxifragales; Paeoniaceae
Description: tRNA-His
Rfam family: tRNA
About the family: Transfer RNA (tRNA) molecules are approximately 80 nucleotides in length.
Source: RNAcentral
GGCGGAUGUAGCCAAGUGGAUCAAGGCAGUGGGUUGUGAAUCCACCAUGCGCGGGUUCAAUUCCCGUCGUUCAU